UUUGAGGGGAAUGUUGUCUGGCUCGAGGACUCUGGCUUUCUCUAUUCAUGUUGGAUCUUCUUCGAUCUAAUUGAAUCGAACCUCCAGGUUUGAGAUCAGGUUUGAGAUCUGAUUAGGGUUUUAGCGUCGUCGGACCAGGCUUCAUUCCCCCCAAU
Molecule: microRNA precursor, 155 nt
Filed under: Eutrema salsugineum
Lineage: Eukaryota; Viridiplantae; Streptophyta; Magnoliopsida; Brassicales; Brassicaceae
Description: mir-166 microRNA precursor family
Rfam family: mir-166 microRNA precursor family
About the family: This family represents the plant microRNA (miRNA) precursor mir-166. Animal miRNAs are transcribed as ~70nt precursors and subsequently processed by the Dicer enzyme to give a ~22nt product.
Source: Rfam by way of RNAcentral